This 271-nucleotide ribosomal RNA is filed under the name uncultured bacterium. RNAcentral's name for it is "partial 16S ribosomal RNA". It matches the Rfam family "Bacterial small subunit ribosomal RNA", at positions 524 to 794 of the family's 1533-position model. The record is from RNAcentral.
UACGGAGGGAGCUAGCGUUAUUCGGAAUUACUGGGCGUAAAGCGCACGUAGGCGGCUUUGUAAGUAAGAGGUGAAAGCCCAGAGCUCAACUCUGGAAUUGCCUUUUAGACUGCAUCGCUUGAAUCAUGGAGAGGUCAGUGGAAUUCCGAGUGUAGAGGUGAAAUUCGUAGAUAUUCGGAAGAACACCAGUGGCGAAGGCGGCUGACUGGACAUGUAUUGACGCUGAGGUGCGAAAGCGUGGGGAGCAAACAGGAUUAGAAACCCGUGUAGU